RNAcentral lists this non-coding RNA (45 nucleotides) under Echinostoma caproni. Lineage: Eukaryota; Metazoa; Platyhelminthes; Trematoda; Plagiorchiida; Echinostomatidae. The record is from RNAcentral.
GCAUUACUGACGAGUCCCAAACAGGACGAGACAGCUGUUCAGUGC